CCCUCGUGUUCCAUGAUUUAACAAGCGAUGACCACUCCACUACCAUUGUCAACUACCUCCUCACAUGAACUGGAAGCCACGUCUCAUGUGGCCCACUCAUCCACUGGCACAUUGAAUGUUUCCUCUCCAAGCACGGUGAGGGAACCCCUGUCAAUUUUUCUCUCAUGACUUUAUGUAGAGUCAAUCACAAUCACAAUCACAUUAUUACACAUCUAUGAUUUGACUCCUUGCUUGGACUAACUCAUUCUUAGCUCUUUUGUCUCACUGUGUAGUGUUUUUGUGUUAUUGUCUUCCCAGUCAAAUCCUGUCCUGCACUGGUCAAGCCUCUGAACAACUCAACUCAUGCCUCAUACCCUCAUUCAAUCACUGCUGUGAUCCCUUCCCAAAAUGGUGCAGCCUGGGAAAGAACUGAAAAAACUCACUAAAGAGUCAAGACAGAGACACCAGAAAGACCCAAGAAGACUUGGACGCAGCAUCAGAGGACAGAGAGGGAUGUUCAGAACUCACUCAGUCUGGUCAGUUGGUGAGGGUAGACUUGGAGGCUGCUUACCUGACAUGGAGGAAGUCCCCCCUCCUCUCCCCU
Molecule: long non-coding RNA, 583 nt
Filed under: Salmo trutta (river trout)
Lineage: Eukaryota; Metazoa; Chordata; Actinopteri; Salmoniformes; Salmonidae
Description: lncRNA (ENSSTUG00000028387.1)
Source: RNAcentral